AAAACCCCAGAAAACAAAGUCAAAACAUAAAACAUAUGCGAGGGUAAUAGAGAGAGUAGCCAUAAAAGGAGAAGAAGUUGUAGGAAAGCCAAGAACGAGAGGUAGAAGAUGAAGAUUUUGGUAGUAAGAGAAUUGGUUCCGGAAGAACGUGAUCAAUAAUUAAUUUUCUUCUGAUACCAUGUUAUGAGAAAAAAAAUGAUGAAAAUUAUGUAUCUUAUUUCAUAACAAGAAGAUAUUACAAUGGAUA
RNAcentral lists this long non-coding RNA (247 nucleotides) under Vigna radiata. Its description in RNAcentral is "long non-coding RNA (VRAD_LNC010476)". The record is from RNAcentral. Lineage: Eukaryota; Viridiplantae; Streptophyta; Magnoliopsida; Fabales; Fabaceae.